Herpailurus yagouaroundi (jaguarundi) is the source of this 1989-nucleotide long non-coding RNA. RefSeq lists it as uncharacterized. NCBI's taxonomy places the organism in Eukaryota, Metazoa, Chordata, Mammalia, Carnivora, Felidae. The transcript is spliced from 2 exons. The record is from RefSeq and is a predicted model, not a curated record.
CCCCCGCUCCUACUCCACCUGUCCAUACUGUCCUGCGGGUCAGGGCCAGCGCCCAGCUUUGACUCUGGCCCCGCUGGCCAGAAGGCCUGGCUUGACUCGCCUGGGGCUCCCUUGAAAACAAAAGCCCAGGACUUAUUCUAGGCUAGGAACACUGUUUCCCCCCUCCCACACUAGAGUUUUGUCAAAGCGUUACAUUAUUCCAGAGUUAAUACGUAGGAUUUGCGAAGCUAAACCCCAGUUGUGACUUGGCCACUUCCAUCUUAGACGACAUCGAAAGAGCGGCAUUAGAGAAAAAUACUUCCACCAGAGCUUGUUUGAAAGAGAACAGUUAGCCUCUUGGAUGGAAUUAGGUGUCCACGUUCCGGGAAUUCUGGUUAUUUGUGCCGCAGCUGAGAAAAGGUAUAUUACUGAGUUUGGUUUGUAAUUAAAAUGGUCUCGUGGGCCUACCCCCCACCUCCCCACCCUCAGGGCACAGGAUAUUCGCUAAGACUGGCACUUCCUCUGUUGAUGUUCCCUUUGGGAAACAAAAGAUAGAAAUGGUGACUAAGGUCUUUCCAGAUAAUAUCCCACACCAAAGUAUUGACAGAAAAGGUUUGUAUAACAUGACGUGAUAACGUAAUGUGAUGUAUGAAUAUUAUUACCCAAGGGUUAUAUUAUACCCAGCCGAUAAGUUAUAUUCGUAUGGUUAUGUGUAUAUUUGUAAAAGUGCGUAGCCUUUCAGUCGUUGACUUUAUAAAUACUUAACCGAGUGUCUGUCUGGUAUGUAAAAAACUGUGCAGGGCAUUGUGAGAAGUACAGAGGUUUACACAAGAUGGGUUUUUUUUGUUGUUGUUUUCUAGCCUUCAAGAAAGUUCAGUGCAGAGUGGGAGUAGCAUCACUGAAGUGACGACCGCAACGUAGUUAGGAGUUGUCAGGAUUUAAACUAGAGAGUGUGGAUGAGGUUUUGACUCUGAAGGUUACUGUACCUUCUGAGAGCUGUGCAUCGGGCAGGUUCUCGGGAAGCCCCUGGGGGGUUUGUUGCUUGCCCAGUUGGGCUGCGAUUAGCAUCCUUCUAGUUUGGAGGAGACGUUAUCCAGGAAGCCAUCUAGUCCGUGGGGGAGGUGGCAUCUCCUGAGUCUUGCUGCCACAGAAAACUUUGAAUGGGUGGAAAAAGGAGUUUGUGAGCAUUCUUGCUAUGUCACAAUGUUGGACAUGUGACUUAAGAGAAGCAUGUGACAGGUCAGUGUGAUUGGACCAUUUGAUUACCAAGUCCAGACUCUAGAGUGACUCAGUGGCCAAUGCUGCUUUUUUAAACGGUUAACUGAAACAUUGGUAUGACAGAAGAUCUAUGAAUAAAAGACCUAAAAUCCUUUUAAACGUACUAUUUAUUGGGACAUCCUGAAGGACUUGUUCCCGUAUCAUCUCCCAUCUUGCACUUGUUGAUAAUUGUUCGACAUUCAUUCGGCAUUUACUGGAAGCUUCCAGAUGGUGGACAGCGUGCAAGGUGUCUGAGAUGGCAGAAGGAAAAUACAGAGGAACAGGCUGUAUCUCCUCACUCGGGGUACCUGUAUGAAGGCUGCUUCACUCUGGAGGUUUGGACCUGUGUGGGCAUGUCUGGGCAUCUGCUGGGAGAGGACUUGCAGAAUACUGGGGACCUUAGCGAGAGAAUUCCUGAAAGUGGAAGACUGUAGAAAUGGUAAUAAGGCCUCAGCUGUUAUAAGAGAGGGGUGACUUCAGUACUUGUGGUAAAGAGGCAGGAUAGGUAGGGUCAAGUGGUAAGAAAUACAGGAGAUAUAUUUGUGUAGAUCACUUAACAGUAGUAUGUAAUCAGUAAAUACUCAUUAUUAUUUGUAUUAUAGUACUCACCCCAGGCUGUCCCUACAAAAACACAUAUGCAGAGACCUAAGAGACAAAGUGUGAAGAUGCCAGAGGUCUUCAUCAGACCGUAUAGAUGUCCUUUAAUGAACUUAUAGAUUGCUAAAUGUUACCAACAAAUGUUAAUAAUGAUAA